This 3165-nucleotide long non-coding RNA is filed under the name Salmo salar (Atlantic salmon). RNAcentral describes it as "lncRNA (ENSSSAG00000097345.1)". Lineage: Eukaryota; Metazoa; Chordata; Actinopteri; Salmoniformes; Salmonidae. The record is from RNAcentral.
UUUUACUGUUGAUUUUAUUUCUUUACUCAUCUAUUGUUCACCUAAUACCUAUUUUUUUUAAACAUAAAAAUCGCACCGCUGGUUAGGGCCUGUAAGUAAGCACUUUAUUUGAAUUUGGUGUUUGUCCAAUUUUGUGAAUUCUUGGUUGGUCAGCGGACCCCAGACCUCACAACCAUGAAGGGCAAUGGGUUCUAUAACUGAUUUAAGUAUUUUUAGCCAGAUCCGAAUGCAUUACACCGCCUCCCACAUUCUAUUUUACUUCCUACCGGGUUGCUGACUUCCGGAGCGAUUUACGCUAUUGUUUUUAUCAUUAGUUUACUAGGUCGUCAAUGCAUUUCUGACUGAAAUAGUUCCGAAUGCCUACGUUUAAAUUACAGCAUGAACAUUGUUCAGUGCCUCUGUGUUCAGGUUCUUCAAAAUGUAAUGGUAUUGUGAGCUUCUGUAGUUUCCCAGUCGAUGUAGAGCUCAGGAAACCGUGGUUUGUGGCAGAACGUCGUGACAAGUGUAGGUGUGUAGUACACAUUUCGUCAAGAGUGACUUUGUUGAGGGGAAAAUUGUGGGGCGACAAUACCUAAAAAGAGGUGUUGUUCCUACAGUCUUCGCGUGGAACUGGCACAUUCAAUAGUGACCUGGUGUUUGGAAAAGAAAACUGAAACCUCCUGCCCCGACUGAAGAGGAUGAAGAACAAGGUGCGCUGCCUAUGGACUGUGCCGUCUCUUGAUCCAGGCCAGAUUACUGUGCAGUCCCUGAACAUGGCAAACCAUGAGCACAUAAGAGAAAUUGAGGAGCUUCGAGCCAAGCUGGAGAAACUGACCGCACAACACGGCUUUGGUCUACAGCGAUUUGCUGGUUCUGACGAGGAUAUACGUUUUUACACAAGACCCUGCCAUCAAUCGAUGAGUUCUUCUUGUUUAUGACUCGUCUGUCGCUGGGUCUGAAGCAGAAGGAUUUGGCCCAUCGGUUCAGGAUCCACCAAUCGACAGUGAGACAGAUUAUCAUAUCUUGGGCCAUCAUCCUCUAUUGUCUGCUUGGAUCAGCACGGAUAUGGAUCCCCAAGGAAACAUCAAAGCACACCAGCCACCUGAGUUCAAGGACUUUCCAGACACCCAGGUAGUGAUCGACUGCACUGAACUCCGCUGCCAGACAUCAUCUUCACUACUAUUGCAGAGUGAGGUGUUUUCUUCCUACAAGUCACACUGUACCUUUUUAAGGGCAUGUUGGGAUUGUCACCACAUGGAGUUGUCACUUAUGUGUCAUCCUUGUAUGCUGGAUCUGUGAGUGACAAGGAGAUCUUCAAGUAACGUAAAUUCCGGACUAUAAGCCGCAACUUUUUUCCCAGCUUUGAACCUCGCGGCUUAAACAAUGACACGGCUAAUAUAUGGAUUUUUCCCGCUUUCAAUUUUUUUUCUUGCAAAAAAAAAACACAUUCUGUGACGUGCUCAGUUUUUGGGCGGCAUGAAGCUUUCAUUAGACCAAUGAAAUUGCUGAACGGGUUAAGGUCAAACAACUUUUUUGUUUACUGUUUAGAUUAAAUCGAGCGCUCUCAAACUUCCCAUCAUUCUGAUUACGGUAGUCAUUUUGUCACCCUCAUCAUGGCAAAGACACGGAGAAAUGCAUAUGAUGCAGCUUUGAAGUUGAAGGCGAUUGAUCUGGCUGUUGGAAAAGGAAAUAGAGCUGCUGCAUGGGAGCUUGGUCUUAAUGAGUCGAUGAUAAGACGUUGGAAACAGCAGCGUGAGGAACUAAAGCUUACUGCAAAUUUUUUAUUUUUUGUUACAAGCCAUGUUUCGUUAAAGCCUAUUUAUUUUUGUUACAAGCCGUGUUUCGUCAAAGCCUGUGUAAAGUUCAUUUGUUUCAAUGUACCGGUAGGCACCUGCGGCUUAUCCUCUUACAUCUAGACGUUCCGCUAGCGGAACACCACUCCAAUAUCCAAUGAUAGGGUGUGGCGCAAAAUACAAACUCCUCGAAAAUCCGAAAACUUCAAUUUUUCAAACAUAUGACUAUUUUACACCAUUUUAAAGAUAAGACUCUCCUUUAUCUAACCACACUGUCCGAUUUCAAAAAGGCUUUACAACGAAAGCAAAACAUUAGAUUAUGUCAGCAGAGUACCCAGCCAGAAAUAAUCAGACACCCAUUUUUCAAGCUAGCAUAUAAUGUCACAAAAACCAAAACCACAGCUAAAUGCAGCACUAACCUUUGAUGAUCUUCAUCAGAUGACACUCCUAGGACAUUAUGUUAUACAAUACAUGCAUGUUUUGUUCAAUCAAGUACAUAUUUAUAUCAAAAACCAGCUUUUUACAUUAGCAUGUGACGUUCAGAACUAGCAUUCCCACCGAACACUUCCGGUGAAUUUACUAAAUUACUCACGAUAAACGUUCACAAAAAACAUAACAAUUAUUUUAAGAAUUAUAGAUACAGAACUCCUUUAUGCAAUCGCGGUGUCCGAUUUUAAAAUAGCUUUUCGGUGAAAGCACAUUUUGCAAUAUUCUGAGUAGAUAGCUCGCCAUCACGGGCUAGCUAAUUUGACACCCACCAAGUUUGGUACUAUUCAGGUGCGCUUAAUAGUCUGGAAAUUACGGUAGUCUGGAAUUAUUUCCUUACUCACCCCUGACAUCGGCAUUAUGGUGGAUAAGGGCUUUCUCGUAGAUGAUAUUGUUCUGUGCCAGGUCUACCGCCAGCCUUUCUGUCAAGACACACACAGAUGCCAGCGCAUGAGGUUAGGGAGACCCAAUCCAUAGCCAGGCUGAGAGUGCAUGUUGAAUGAAUGAUCCACAGAGUAAAGGAGCACAAGCUGUUUGACAGGGUCAUCCCCCUGACCAUCUCAGGCAGCAUCAACCAAUUAUUUGCAGUGGCGUGCCUGUUGGUCAACUAUCAAAAUGGACCUUUGGUCAGAACAUAGGCCAAGCCAGUGUAAAUGUACAUGUGUUUAUUUGCUAGCAGAAAAAUAAUAAUUUGUUUAUCUAUGACAUGUAUCAAUAAUUUGUAUUGUAGUGAAUAUCUGUUUGUGUGGAGCUUGUAUUGGCUUUAAUUAGGCAAUGAGUUUAGGAGUGGGGGAAAGAAAUCAAGUAAACACAGAAUAGCCAGAAUGCAAGAUUGAAUACAAUAUUAGAGGUGUAAUUGAUUAACUGAACUGUUGAACAUUUGCUGAAAUAAAUGUUUUUAAACAAA